GACGAACGCUGGCGGCGUGCCUAAUACAUGCAAGUAGAACGCUGAAGAGAGGAGCUUGCUCUUCUUGGAUGAGUUGCGAACGGGUGAGUAACGCGUAGGUAACCUGCCUUGUAGCGGGGGAUAACUAUUGGAAACGAUAGCUAAUACCGCAUAACAAUGGAUGACACAUGUCAUUUAUUUGAAAGGGGCAAUUGUUCCACUACAAGAUGGACCUGCGUUGUAUUAGCUAGUAGGUGAGGUAAUGGCUCACCUAGGCGACGAUACAUAGCCGACCUGAGAGGGUGGUCGGCCACACUGGGACUGAGACACGGCCCAGACUCCUACGGGAGGCAGCAGUAGGGAAUCUUCGGCAAUGGGGGCAACCCUGACCGAGCAACGCCGCGUGAGUGAAGAAGGUUUUCGGAUCGUAAAGCUCUGUUGUAAGUCAAGAACGGGUGUGAGAGUGGAAAGUUCACACUGUGACGGUAGCUUACCAGAAAGGGACGGCUAACUACGUGCCAGCAGCCGCGGUAAUACGUAGGUCCCGAGCGUUGUCCGGAUUUAUUGGGCGUAAAGCGAGCGCAGGCGGUUUGAUAAGUCUGAAGUUAAAGGCUGUGGCUCAACCAUAGUUCGCUUUGGAAACUGUCAAACUUGAGUGCAGAAGGGGAGAGUGGAAUUCCAUGUGUAGCGGUGAAAUGCGUAGAUAUAUGGAGGAACACCGGUGGCGAAAGCGGCUCUCUGGUCUGUAACUGACGCUGAGGCUCGAAAGCGUGGGGAGCGAACAGGAUUAGAUACCCUGGUAGUCCACGCCGUAAACGAUGAGUGCUAGGUGUUGGAUCCUUUCCGGGAUUCAGUGCCGCAGCUAACGCAUUAAGCACUCCGCCUGGGGAGUACGACCGCAGGGUUGAAACUCAAAGGAAUUGGCGGGGGCCCGCACAAGCGGUGGAGCAUGUGGUUUAAUUCGAAGCAACGCGAAGAACCUUACCAGGUCUUGACAUCCCGAUGCUAUUUCUAGAGAUAGAAAGUUACUUCGGUACAUCGGUGACAGGUGGUGCAUGGUUGUCGUCAGCUCGUGUCGUGAGAUGUUGGGUUAAGUCCCGCAACGAGCGCAACCCCUAUUGUUAGUUGCCAUCAUUCAGUUGGGCACUCUAGCGAGACUGCCGGUAAUAAACCGGAGGAAGGUGGGGAUGACGUCAAAUCAUCAUGCCCCUUAUGACCUGGGCUACACACGUGCUACAAUGGUUGGUACAACGAGUUGCGAGUCGGUGACGGCGAGCUAAUCUCUUAAAGCCAAUCUCAGUUCGGAUUGUAGGCUGCAACUCGCCUACAUGAAGUCGGAAUCGCUAGUAAUCGCGGAUCAGCACGCCGCGGUGAAUACGUUCCCGGGCCU
Molecule: ribosomal RNA, 1369 nt
Filed under: uncultured bacterium
Lineage: Bacteria
Description: bacterial SSU rRNA
Rfam family: Bacterial small subunit ribosomal RNA
Source: RNAcentral